GGGAAGAAGGGAAUAAGGUUAGAAGUCAGGUUGUCAUUCUUGUCUUUGUUUGGAAGAAGAGACAAACAUAUACUUCUUCUUUACCAACCGAAUGUUUAGUGAACUCGUGGUUCUCGAAGCCGCGGGUUGAUAACUUCUUCUGAGUCCGACUACCUCGACAGGGUUUGUUCCCUACAACCCACUAACCCACUUGUUUGAAAAGCACCUUGUAGGUCUAGGAACGUCGCCACGGAGGCCAGUUGUAACGGUUACGGUACUAACACCAAUUAUGGGUGCCCUCUAAAAUAAGGAUGCACGACUAAUUUAUCUCGACUCAUUUGUAGUAGGUAUCCUGUACGUACACGACUAAUUGAAAUCUCAGCUUUCACCAAGAAAUAAGACAAGUUUGCGACUGGCCUAGUCCACGUGGAAAUCCGAGAUACGAUUCGCGGUUGUUGUUUAAGAAUAAAAGUCGCCCUAACAUAUGACCUGGCUCCAAGAUGUCCUCCACCCAAGCGAACCUGAUAAUACACUUCGUCACAUUUGUGUCAACAGUUGUGUGAGUCCUUAAGCUAUCACCUUUCACCAGAUUGAAAGUCUUAAACCUCGAGACUGCACCUUCUAAAAAACUCCCGUUAGAUCUUAUUAAUGGAACCGUCUAAUACACGUACCUUUUCCAUUACCGGACAUACUCUGAUCUAACUCAACAAACAAGUCACUCCUUUCCUUUUUGUUUACUCGGUGACGUUACAAGAGAUAUCGGUUCCUUGUUCUCCAGUUUCUAUCUCGAGACUACAUAACUAUCUCUACUAUAUUUUUAAUAGAGAACUUCACUCGGUGUUUGUAACUUUCAUCGUAAUAGUUCUCAUACGUAGUUGGUAGUACGUACUUAAGUAUGCUAGUAACUUGUUUGUUGAGUUAAAUUCUCUUAUAACAAGGAACCGAUAUCUCUUGUUUGUUGAGUUAAGUAUGUUAGAUAUGACAGCUCAGAGACUUCACGGCACAAGACGAUGUUAUAAUAGAAUUUAUACACGUUACUUAGAUAAAAGGGCAACGUUGCGCGCCCGUAAAAAACGAUCAUACAAAAUAAAUAAAUAAUCUGAGGGGAUUAGAUACAAAGAGCCGGUAAGUUAACACUAGCAUCCUUGUUCUAUC
This 1134-nucleotide ribosomal RNA is filed under the name Triticum aestivum (bread wheat). RNAcentral describes it as "partial small subunit ribosomal RNA". Lineage: Eukaryota; Viridiplantae; Streptophyta; Magnoliopsida; Poales; Poaceae. The record is from RNAcentral.